Non-coding RNA from Pelobates cultripes (western spadefoot toad), 67 nucleotides. NCBI's taxonomy places the organism in Eukaryota, Metazoa, Chordata, Amphibia, Anura, Pelobatidae. The record is from the annotation of a GenBank genome assembly.
UCCACGAACAGAGUGUGGAGAGAACAUGGAAGAUACUUCCAUGUUCUCUCCACACUCUGUUCGUGGA